GAGGGAGCGUGUAACUAUAGAUAGUAGAUUCUGCAGGGGUCUGUGUGCAUAGGUAUGCAUGCAUGCUUAGUUUUCUGUAUGUAGCGUCUGUGCCCCCAUGGGUGUUUUUAAUGGUGGUCUGUCUUUGUGUCUCUGAAUCUGUAUAACUAUAUGAUCUAAGAACGUUCAGGGGAGACAGUGUUUGUAUGUAAAAGCAUUGUGGUUCUGAUGUGCACCUGUAGGGUAAGUGGUUCUGUGAGAGAGGAGAGGACAGCUUGAGGCUGUGUUAACAUCAAGGCCAGGGACUCUUGGGGCUCUCUUUCCCCCUGCCUAGGACCUUCUCCUCCAUACAUAGCUGUUCUAAUUCUGACCCUCAGAGCCUGGAGCUGGGGCCUCACUGGUUGCACCCCACUUCAGAUGCUGCGUUUCAACCUCCCCUACGUCUUUCUCUGAGCCUCCUUCCUCCAGCCAUGGAGACUGUGGCAACAGAGCUUCACCUAAGGCACUCUGAGUACACAUAGUAGGCUGACAGCCUUCAGAUGGCAUGCAGCGGGCACUCUGAGUACACAUAGUAGGCUGACAGCCUUUAGAUGGCAUGCAGCAGGGACCACCCCAGCUCCUCACUGAGAAAAGUCACUCUUAUCACUAGGGUCCUGGGUCCUCUAGUCCCUCAGAGCUGAUGUCAGUGUGUUCUAUCUUCACUUAGUGGUGCCCAAGACAGAGUUCUGCCUGUCCCCCCAGGGGACUAGGUCUUAGAUUCGGUGUCCCAGGCUUUGGGAAGACCUGGGGAUGCCACUAGCUCCUUCUCUUGGUCCCAUCUCUUAUCCUGUGCAGGCAGAUCACAGUUCCCUUCCAGCUUUCUCCCUCCCCCUGCCAGGCGAGGGCCCAGAGUGGCAUGUCUGGCUAUGUCUAGCCACCCUUCCCCCCAUGGUUAUUAAUGAUUGGGUAUUAGGCAAGCGGCACUAUCGAUUCUGGCGCGGGCAGCUCCAGGUCGGGGUAAUUUAUGGAAACACCGGUGUCCCUGGUGAUAAAUAAUGAGGUGAUCGUGAGGAUGGGUCACUAGUGAGUGACUUCCACCUUAUACCCUGUCCACUAACACACCAGCUCAUAAAUGGAGGAAAGGGGGAGAGGCCCAGUAAGCUGGAAAGACAAAGGAUGCUUUGGUGAUGUGCGCCUCCAGAGGACAAGGGGAAGCAGAGACAUGGCUCUGUGGGGUCCAGGCGGGCGGCGGGAGCUGGUGGGAAAGGGAAGAGAAAUACAAAGAAGGCAGAGUGGAAAGACUGGGGAAGAGAAACAGUGGGGGCAGGAGACACGGAGGAAAACAUGGGGUGGGAGAGGAAUGAGAGACAAACAGGGCAAAGGAGAGGGGGACGGAAGAGGCCCGAGGCUGCACAGGGUGAGGACAGCAAGGGCAGAAACAAAGAGGGAAGACGAGCAAUUAAGGCCAGCCACUCCUCGAGAGGACUGUACACAGGGUCGGUGCUGUGGUCUAACUGUGAAUGCCCCGAGACACCCGGACUGUGUACCCUCCAGGCAGGCUUUGGAUCCCACCUCUCUCCUGGGCCCAGCUGUGUAACCUUAAACAGGUCACUUCCUCUUGAUGAGGACAACUGAUCCACCCAGGUGAGAGACAGAACCACGCAGCUAGCUCAGUGCACUUGGGACCCAGUGCCAGGCCUUGGGGUGCAUGGGUCAGUGAUAGCGGGGUUCUUUCUGAUGGAGUCAUGUGAGCACGUCAUGUGACAAUAACUCUAAUGAGUGGACAGAAUGUCCAGUUAGCCACACAUAAAGCAGGGAGAAGCCAUGAGAGUAGCAGACUGAACCGCCUCAGAGGGGCACCUCCCAGAGGUGAGGUUUGAUUUGGGCCUGGACUUACACAGGGGAGAGAAUCACUCCUAGGGAUAGAAACAUUACGUGAUGAUGCUUUCAAGGUUGGAAGGAAGGCCACCGGGGCCUAGAUUGGAGUCUCUAGUGCACCAGCCUCCCCAAUCCCACACCUCCACACACCAAAUCCACCAGCUUUAACUUGGUUAUCUCCAGGGCUGAAGAACUCAUUACUACUCUUGAGAAAAUCUAAUUCUGAAAAUGACCUUUUUUAUUUUUUUCUUUCUUUUACAAUUUCCCUUCGUCCCCAGUUUAGCCUCUCCCUCCUCUCGCUGCCCACUCCCGCCCCCACGCUCUGAUUGACAGGUAGCUGCCCCACUUGGCUGCUGUUGACAAUGCUUCCGGUCUGGGUCUGGCGCAUCGCCCUGUCUUGGGCAGAGCCAGGGAUGGGGAUACUGUUCCUUCUUUCUGGAUCAAUAGCGCUCACUUUGGUCCGCCCCUGCUUGGGACUUCUUGGACAAGGGUCACUUGCUGCCUCUCUUCCUGUCUGCCGUCUUUUCUGGCUGGAAAAGAAUAUCAAGCACAGUCUGCAGGCUGACCUGAGAAGUACACCCGAUCUGCGUCCCCCUGGGUGGUAUCUUGACCCUGCUGCCUGCUGAUCAGGUGACUGUGCACGGGGCCCCAGUGUCUUCUAUGUGCAGGGUGCCUAGCACCAGAGAAAACUGCAGUAUUUGUCUGCUCUCAGGACCCCUCCCACACUUCCUUUCCUAUAUUCUUGAGUAGCCGAGGUUUCUCCUUCAUGUCCGGGACUCAUGUUCCAGAGCCUACCGUGAUCGUCACAUGGCUCUGCGCCCUGGUUCUGGGCCACCCUAGGUCAACACCCUCAUGUUCUUUCCUAGCCUGAACCUGUGGGACCUUCCCACAAUAAGGAGACGUCAAGUGGCCUAGGCCACCAUGUCGGUAGUUUCCCUUGCUUGUGUCCCUUUGUGGAAGUCUGUUCCUAGAGACUUCUCAUCACUUUUUGGCUUCACGCCUCAGCCUUCCUUCAUGCUGGAAGGCAGGGUGCAGGCCUAUCCGGUAUGGGCUCUUCUUAGCAACUGCUCUCCUGGGAUCACCAUGGCUCUCUGUUAGGGGCUUCUAGAACAUUCCUUCUAUUCUUCAUUGAGCUACUAAACUCAACCAGUACUGCUACUAUUUCUGAUCCCAGCAGCUAAUUAACAUUUUGUCUCCCCAUUUUACAGAUAUCUGUGGUACGAAGUCAUGGCUACACAUCAUGUACAUCUUAUAAAGGACGGUCCCAGGCAACUGUUAACAGGCACUGAUAUCUUACAGGGCUGGUGUUAUCCGCUGGGAAGUGGAUGGGCUAUGAAGCCUUUGGACCCUAAGCAGAGACAGUACCUCAAUCAGUUAAGGAUGGGUGGGGCCUACAUCCCAUAGGGAUGUGAGGAAGUGGGUAGAUCUAUGUAGCUGGAAGGCCUGGGAGAAAUGUAGUCCUGUCCGCUGUGGAGUGGGGACUCAGGCCAGUCAACUGGGAGAGAGGCCGUUUGUGAGGUCUCAGGGUAGAUCUAGCGUUCAGGAUGCUGGAGAACAGGCAUUCCUGGGUCGUCGGUGUUUGCUGCAUCCUAGUGUUGGGUCUGGAGGCACUUGGUACCAGGCAGAUGCAGGGAGGACACAAGCCUGGGCUGAGAAAGGACAAGGGGCCUGAGGGUAUGGAGGAGGUGAGCUGAGGCCGUAUACAGAGCCUGGAGACUUGUGGAGCUGGAAGAGGGACAGGCAUCAGGGUGAGCAACAGGGACCUGUGAGCGGGCUGCGGCGUGGGAUGAGGAAGCAUGGAGGUAGACAUCACUCCAGGGCUCACAGGAGUCUCCAGAUCCCUUCCUGUUUUCCAACAUGUCAGGGGCACUUCAGGGACUCACUUGCUCCUUGUCUUCCCAAGGCUACCUGGCUGAUGGCAGAGGCAGGCAAGCGUCACAGCAGGUGUAUGGGUCUCUCUGUUUUGGAUCCCACAGCCCAGCUUGGUGGUCCCCCGGCACAUAGUAGGCUCCUUCUCUCGGCUUGCUGAAUCUCCUUUCCUUGCAGUCAGUGCAGCCAGCACCCCCUACCCCCAAUUCCACCCCUACCCCAGCUCAGCCACCUACUGUGCCCCAGCACUGGGUGCUCUAAGCUGUCUGCCUCCCUCCCACAGAGGAGCUGUGGCGCUGCUGUCUGUCCUAUGCUGUGUCCUGGCUCCGUGGAGGCCCGCGGUCACUGGUCACCAUGGCUGAAUGCCGAAAGGACAAACAGGCUACCUGUGACCCUCCAGGUUGAACAGGGGGGAACUGACUGAGUGGCGCCUGCUGCUGGGCCCCAGGCCCCUCCCAGGCCCUCGGCACCCCCGCCCCCAACGGCUUUGUUCCCGACCUCAAACCACAGGGAGAAUAAAGUUUGUGAAAUAUUAGUUUAAUAAGACAUGCGACUACUAUUAAGGAUCCAAGGGUUCUUAUUUAUUAUUCAUGGGGCCUCGUGAUUUAGGGGCAAGUGGGUCCGCAGAGGCUCUGCUUGGCCGCCUCAAUGGCAGCCAACCCUCCCCACUGCGCCUGGCUUCCACCACCCUCUCCCCCUACAUCUGCCCACACUGCAGUGCUCACAAGGACCCUCUAUCCUCACCAGGUGUGGAGCGGGGGUGGGAGUGGGGGCAAGGUAGCCGCAGCUCCUCCCUAGUUGCCUCUCCUGGGCGCUCACUUGCACUGGCGUCUCUGAGAGAAAAGGAAGGUCAUGACUGCCCAAGUCUUGCCUGCUGAGACCUAUUGUCAGAUUUGUAGCAGGCUGGGGGUGGUGUUCCUCUUCUGUCUUUUUUUUUAGGGUCCUGGGACCUCUGGGGGGCAGGUAGGUGAGGUAGGGCCCUGGCCGAUGUGAAGAGUGAGGAGGGGACUGGGUACCUGCACUCACCUGCUGUGUGACUUUGGGCAGGUUCCUCACCUUCUCUGUCUCUGCUCCUCUCUAAGAUCAGAGUCUCCGUGCAUCAUCGGAAAGUCCCUCAGCAGGAAGGAAAUGUGUGAAGUCUUCCUAGAGUCACAAAAUCCUAGCCAUGGUGUCUUAGUGGGGACAAAUUCAUAGUGAGCUUCCUCUCCUGCCGCAAACGCAGAACCUCUGUCCUGACUUCUUUGGUCAUACACGUGAGUUGUGUGCUCUUGAACUUAGUCUUAGCAAAGUCACAUGACUUUAUAAAACAUGUGAUUGUUAAUAGCUUCCUCUUUUUUCAUUAUUGAGCAAUACUCCAAGGUGUGACCAGCAAGCUGUGAAUCUAUUCACCACCCCUAGUCAUGCAGACUCCUGGUUCAUUCACCACAGUGAUCAUUCAGGAGGCUUCUCGCCCUUUCAAGACCCAUCCUGACCUGUGACCAUGCAGACUUCUGGUGUUUGGUGCUCAUGAAUUACACCUUCUGGUGGUGUCUGCAGUUCUUCUACUUCCCUUGGGUAAAUACUUAUGAGUGAACUUGCCAAGUCAAAAAGUAAGUACUUUUUGUUUCUUAUUAUUUUAUUUUAAAUGUCUCUGCAUUACUAAGGCUCCAGCCCACAUCCCUGAAUAUCAUCUACCACCGAGUUAUCCACCAGUACUCAUGUUUAUUGUUUUUAAAAAGAUUCAUUUAUUUUAUUUUAGUGUGUGUGUGUGUGUGUGUGUGUGUGUGUGUGCAUGUGUGUGUGUGCUUGCGCAUCUGAUCCUCUGAAGCUGGAGUUAACAGGAGCACCUGGUGUACUCACGGAAUCAAACUGUUAAUAUGGAAGAGCACUAGACACACUCCUAAUUACUGACCCACCUCCAGGCCCUAUGUUUGACUUUGAAAGUAAGUUUCAGGGGCUGAGGAGAUGGCUCAGUGGUUAAGAGCACUGACUGGUCUUUUGAAGGACUCAAGUUCAGUUAGGAGCACCCAUGUGGUGGUUCAGUCACCCAAGACUCCAGUUCCAGGGGAUCUGGUGCCCUCUUCUGGCCUCUCUGAGAAUCUGCAGUCAUGUGCACCUUUCCCACACAGACACACAACUUUAAAUAAUUAAAUGUAUAUACAUAUACAUAUACAUCAUAUACACAUACAUAUACCUAUACAAAUGUGUAUAUACAUAUAUAUAUAUGGGAUAUAUAAAUUAUAUAGAUACAGUCACAUCAACAAAGUGCUCUCUGGUUUGCUCUACAUCCUUGUCAACACUUAAUACUGUUGUUCUUUUUAAUUUCAGCUAUUCUAUUGGGUACGCUGGUACAUCAUUUGACUCUGAUUGGUGAUUUGCUAACGCUGCUGGUCAUUCUUUCCUAUGAUUGGGGGCAUCUCUUUAUUUCCUCUUGUGACCUGGUAUUUCCUAUUUUGGUUGCCUUUCUGACUUUGCUCUUGGUCAUGGGACAUAUUACAUACAAAGAACAAAAGCCCAAGGCUGAGAGAUGGUAAAGAGAUUGGACUAGACUCUUGGUGGGUAAAGUGCUUGCCAUGAAAACCUCGUGAGCUGAAUUUGGAUCAAUAGAACUUACGUAAAGCUGGACACAGUAAGAUACACACAUGUCAUCAAGCAUUCAUAUGGUGACAUGGGAGGCAGGCAGCAAAAAUCCCUGCAGGCUUGCAGGCCAGCUAGCCUGGCAGACACAGCUGAGAACAAGAGACUGCCUGGAACCAGGCAAAGACUCCUGAGAUUGCCUUCUGCAUGCAUACGCCUGAACUCAUACCCACUGUAUGUACAGAAGGAACGAGAGCCCUCUGUUAGAUGUGAAAACUGAAUCCUUAAAAUUGUAGCAUGCCAGUGCUUUCCCAUUCUUUCGAUAAACAAGUUUUAACUGAAAGUCCAGUUUUUUGUUUCUGUUUACAGUCCCUGUGUUUUGUGUGCUUUGAUCUUUGCUCUGUACUGUGAGCAUGUUUCCCUAAAUUUUCUUGUAGAAGCUUGUAUGUAGUUCAACAGUUCUGAUCCAUCACAGACUGACCUUUGCAUGUGGCCAGGCAGGGGGUGAGCAUUUACUUCUUUUUCUCCAUUCGUCCAUCCGGUUGCCCAGUGUGAUUGAAAAUUACUUUGCUUUUUAUAGUUAAUUGGCAAAAAAAAAAAAAAAGAGAGAGAGAGAGAGAGAGAGAGAAGAAGACAAGAAGGAAGGAAGAGAGGGCAGAAGGGGGAGAGAAGGCGAGCGAGCGAGCGAGAGACAACAGGUGAGGGAUGAGGGCAGGGGAGCAGGCGACCGCUUGGACUAGACUCUCCUUACCCACCUUCUGUCUCUGUGUCAGGUCCCUUUCAAAACAGUUUUAAAACAGGCAGAAUAAAUCCAGUGUUUCCUUCUAAUAUUGACUGGGUUGUUGGCUCUCUGCUCUCCCAUAUCAAUCUGAGAAUCAGCUUGCCAAUGACUCUUAGAAAAUCUAUUCGAUGUUUUGAUUGGGACCCAAGUUUUCCAUAAGUCGCUCUGAGCAGGUCUCAGGAGCCUCUCUGUCCCCCGUGCCUGGCCACCCCCAAUUACGUUCUCUGCCAGUGUUCUGCUGAAGAUGCAAUCCCUCCCAGCAGCCCAGAGGGUGAGGCUGAGGAUCUGGAAGCCAAACUCAUUCCAGAGCCAGUUGUGAGGCCAUUGCCAUGCCUGUGAGGGCAGCUGUGGAGGACCUCAUGUGUCACUAAAAUAUCGAUGAGUGAGGUGUCGUGAUGCCCGAGGUUUCCCUCAAAAUAACCCAGUGAGUGCUGAUAUCAGAAGCAAAAUAGUCACGAGGUAAGGAUGGACUUUUGGUGUGGGCACCAAAGGACACGUUACACCAAUCGAGUGCUCCUGCCAUUUUAGGAUGAACUCUUAAAACAUAUGUCCUUUAUUUCUCCCUAGCCUCUCCUGGGACCCACUACACUCUGGUUAAUGACAUUCCCUUUGCCAGCUGCAGCUUCUCCAGUGCCUGCCCUGUCCCCGUGCCUCCCGGAGCAGACCCCGCUGGGCAGGUGGCUGUGUCCAGGCUGCCCUGAUGUGGGGUUGGCAGAUGGGAUCCAAAUGUUCUCAGCCCUCCAGCCCCAAGAAGCCACGAGCAGUCAAGUGUCUGUGACCAUCUCAAGGACACUGAAGUCCCAGGAAGUCCUGUCUGUGAUGAUCCCAGUCACGCCUAGUACCAAGCGCCUCAGACAUCCUCAUCUGGCUUACUCUCCUCCCCUAACACCGUGGAUGCUGUGACAACCCAGUCCUCAGGUUAUUGUUGCAGGACCACAAUGUGUCCUGAACCCAGUUCAAGUCUCGCCCCUCAUUUUUAUUCAUGUCAAACAGCAUUGAAAUGCUUAUCCCAUAAGAUAGUGAAGUCAAGGACCACCUCCCAGAGCCCCCUCUGGCAGGCAGGGGAUUGGCCUCCACACAGGCUUCCUGAACCCAGGACAACCUUCUGUCAGGCAUCAUGGUCUGUCUAUAUGCCUUUGCUAGGCUCUUCCUGGACCAUCAGACAUGGUUUAAGGACCUGCAUCCACCCAGGGGGAUGCUAAAGGGUGUUUCUGAUGCAUGUUUCAUUUAAGCAUCUAGGAACUCAUGUUAAUCUUGUUAAUCCUGUUUGAUGAUGGAUACACCCCAAUUACCAGGUGUCUAGGCCUGCAUUCUGAAGGAAGCAUGGGCCUGGGCCUUUACCUGGAGAGGUGAGGAUAGAUAUCUCAGAAAGAUGGAAUUCUGCACACUGGAACUCAAGGGAGGGGCUGAGAUAGAGAAAGGACAGUUGUGUUUGUUGUUUUAAAUACAAAAAGUAGGCACUUUUAAAGUUCCAGCCUUUAAGUGGUAAAAAGGCACUAUGUAUGACAGGGAUUAUGGACAAAGGGAGUCCCUUAGGCUGAGAUUGAAGGACAUUGGACAAUUAAAAAACGCAUAUGAACAUACACAGAGCUUUAUGCCUGCAUAGGCAGCCAUAUAUCUAUAUAGGUAUCUAUGCAAGUAUGAAAGAUGAUGUUACUGUGUGACUGACUGGCUUAUAAAUUAUUUUUCCAUGAAAUGUAAAUAUAAACAUGUUAAAUACUAUUUA
Mus musculus (house mouse) is the source of this 8768-nucleotide long non-coding RNA. RefSeq annotates it as predicted gene 13404. The transcript is spliced from 2 exons. The record is from RefSeq and is a predicted model, not a curated record. NCBI's taxonomy places the organism in Eukaryota, Metazoa, Chordata, Mammalia, Rodentia, Muridae.